GGCAUCCUGGCGGGCGGCACGUGACAUAUCAGAGGCAAUGCGGACGUCACGGUGGGCUGUAUGCAUCUCAGUCGUCAAAGUUCCCAUAGCCUGCUGGAGACUCUGCACAUCUCGGCUGAUCCCCGUGGUGGUGGUGAAAAUCUGCCUCAAAACCUGAUUGUCCAUAUCAACCUGGGGUGGUGGUGGAGGAAUUUGAGGCAUGUCAAGGUCUGCAUCUGCUUGACCUUCCUCAUUCAAUUGCUGUCGUCGUCGUGCGUUUUCUAAUUUCUGUUGGUGCUUCAGUCUUGCUCGGUCUUGGGCCUCUAGUGUGGAUUGCUUGAUAAAGGGGCUUGGCUUUUCGGGUGCUUCACCAGGUUGGAUUUGUAUCCCUGCUGCUCUACAUAUUCCACUUAUCAGACUGGAAAAAAUUAGUGAGUAGUGCCGAUCACCCCAAGUGCCUGUACCAUGAAUUUGGUUGUAGAUGUACGUGGCUAGAUCAAUCUUGUUCCCUCUAACCAAAUGGUAUAUGAAUCCAGCCCUUAGAUUUGUAAAUGUUGUUCUGUGGGAUAUAGGCUCGAUGUUAUGGCACAUGAAUAACCAUAAAAUUGCUAUGAAUGGGGUGAGAUCUAUCUUAUGCCAGUCUGCUGUAGGUAGAGGCCAAGCGUUUUCACGUCCCAACAAUAUUUCUGCAACCUCAUUCCAGUUGAAGUCCUCUGGGAUAGGGACCACAUUGUUCCAAGAUAACUGAUAGUAGUCAUGGAUUACCUCCGGUGAGAACAUAAUCCAUUUGUCCCUAACCCAUGUCUGAUGUAAGUGCUCCGAUCCGGGAGUGUCGAUUUCUGUGUUGAAAUUUGCAUAAAACUCCUUUGCUAGAUUCUCAUAAACCGGAUAAGGUCUUUCUAUAACCUUUUUCCAACCACAAUUGUGAAUAAGAUAUGUCAAUUCAAAGUUGGGGAAGUCUUCUAACUUUACUGGCCUCUCGGGAAUGAUUGCCCAAUCACGCACAACAUUGGCGUAUCGGGCUGCCGUAUCUAAUGAUAGGAAUCUUCGAACACCCCCUUCAGGUUCUCUUGUUCGGGCCGUUCCAGAUGAGGAGCCGACUUUCUCUUUUCCCUUUGAAGUUCUUUUAGGUGGCAUCCUGCAAAAGGAAAUACACAAUAUCACUUACUUGGUGUAGAAAAAAAAAUGGGCAUGAAUAAACUUUGAAUUCAUAAUCCCCCAAACUUUCUUCAAUAUGCACAUUUACAUGUGUCUAUGCAAUAUUUCACAACAUGAAUCAUCAAUAUAACUCUAGCAUUGCAUAAGUAUGGGAAACUCAAAAUUUUGGCUCAAACAUGCAUUUCUAAAAAAAUUUUACCCAUGACCAAGUGACCAAGUUCGGCCCCGGGCAUCACCGAGAAAUAUCCAAAUUUCCCCGAGCAAGUUUUGGACAUGUGAAAGUACAUAAUGAUAUCUAGCAUAUAUCCAAAUUUCACCCUAAUCGGAGGUCGUUUGCAUUAGAAAACAUAGGGACGAAGGUAGUGACGUGAGUGGAUAUGUUGAACCAUGAAAUGCCUUUGUGAAUUCAAAUGUUAAGGUAAUGUUUUCUAUUGAAAUAUCACAUGAUUUUUCGACAAAAACGCUACACAAUAACGAUGUAAACUAUUACAUAAGUGAAAAGCCCAAAAAAUAAAACAUGCGUUGAUGUGGCAUUUCGUCGAACACCUGGUGUGCAAUGUGAAUUACUUCCUAUUUCUUACAUACACUACCAUGAAAGUUCCCCAAAUCCACAAUAGUACACCAAUCUACCACAAUACAUUCUACUUAAAUCCACACAUUGAAAGAGAAUGUAAGAAUGAAGCCCGAAAUGUUGUCGGAGUUAGAAUUCAUACCUUGCUUGGCAAGUUGGAAGCUUGAUGUAUGUCAAUAUCCACGCACUAGUGUGAGGAGUGUGUGUAGUGCAAUUUUGGGGUGUAUGCAAUUAAGUGUGUGUAGUGAAUUAGGUGCAAGUGUGAUGGUAAAAAUGAGUGUGCAAGUGAAGAGUGAGAGGUGGAGUGUGUGCAUCCGAAUGUGAGGGAAAGGGGGGGGGGGAAUUUUGGGGAUUAAAGGUGUGGUCACGGGUUAAAACCCGUGACCACAACACUAUGCGACCGCAUAGUGUUGCACUAUGCGGUCGCAUAGUGCAAUCCAACUGCCCCUCUUUGUUUUCGGUAGCGGUCUAUGCGGUCGCAUAGACCAAACCGAGUAUAAAUUUAUUUUUAUUUUUAUUUUAUUUUUUUCAAGAACAUAACUUAGAAUUUAAACUCCCCCAAAAUCGAUUUUUCAAAAAUAUUUACCCGCAUUCUGAAAUCUUAACCAAAACGGACAUCUUCGCCCAUCGAAAUGCGUGACAUACACUCGAACACUCGACACACUUCAUAACGCCCCGAUUCAUGCAACAUUAAACGUGAAAUGCCUAGGCUAUCCUGCAAAAUAUGAUUGAUGACCUACAAAACAAACUAAAAUCAAACAAAUUCCUAAACUAAUGCAAUGCAAUAAAAUAAAAUAAAGGAUACAGUGGGUUGCCUCCCACUCAGCGCUAGGUUAUAGUCGAUAGCUCGACUUUACCGUAAUGCGUCAUUCUGGUGAUCCAAGUUGGACGGUAGACUUGUCCUUUGAGAAAUCACCGCCCCAGUAAUGCUUCAACCGCUGUCCAUUGACUUUGAAUGUCCCCUUGCUGUCGUGAGUGAUCUCAAUUGCCCCAUGUGGAAAUACUUGUGUAAUGGUGUAUGGACCAGACCAUCUCGAUCUCAAUUUUCCUGGAAACAGCUUAAGCCUGGAGUUAUACAGUAACACUUUUUGCCCCACUUGAAAGUCACGCCUCUGGAUAUGCAUGUCAUGCCAUUUCUUGGUGCGCUCUUUGUAGAUCUUUGAGUUCUCAUAGGCUUCCAUUCUGAGUUCAUCAAGUUCAUUCAGUUGUAACAGCCGUUUUUCACCUGCAGCCUUCAAAUCCAAGUUCAACUUCUUCAUUGCCCAGUAAGCAUGAUGUUCGAUCUCGAGAGGUAGAUGGCAUGCUUUCCCAAAAACCAGUCGAUAUGGAGACAUUCCUAUAGGAGUCUUGAAUGCAGUCCUGUAGGCCCACAAGGCAUCAUCCAGUUUCUUUGACCAAUCCUUUCGUGAUGAGUUAACUGUGACUUCCAGAAUACGCUUCAAUUGCCUAUUGGAUACUUCGACCUGUCCGCUGGUUUGGGGAUGAUAUGCGGUGGCUAUGCGGUGCUUGACGCCAUAUUUUGAUAACAACUGCUCGAA
RNAcentral lists this long non-coding RNA (3246 nucleotides) under Olea europaea subsp. europaea. The record is from RNAcentral. Lineage: Eukaryota; Viridiplantae; Streptophyta; Magnoliopsida; Lamiales; Oleaceae.